AUUGAACGCUGGCGGCAGGCUUAACACAUGCAAGUCGAGCGGGGUGAUGGUGCUUGCACUAUCACUUAGCGGCGGACGGGUGAGUAAUGCUUAGGAAUCUGCCUAUUAGUGGGGGACAACAUCUCGAAAGGGAUGCUAAUACCGCAUACGUCCUACGGGAGAAAGCAGGGGAUCACUUGUGACCUUGCGCUAAUAGAUGAGCCUAAGUCGGAUUAGCUAGUUGGUGGGGUAAAGGCCUACCAAGGCGACGAUCUGUAGCGGGUCUGAGAGGAUGAUCCGCCACACUGGGACUGAGCAACGGCCCAGACGCCUACGGGAGGCAGCAGUGGGGAAUAGUGGACAAUGGGGGGAACCCUGAUCCAGCCAUGCCGCGUGUGUGAAGAAGGCCUUAUGGUUGUAAAGCACUUUAAGCGAGGAGGAGGCUCUUUUGGUUAAUACCCAAGAUGAGUGGACGUUACUCGCAGAAUAAGCACCGGCUAACUCUGUGCCAGCCGCAGCAGUAA
This 503-nucleotide ribosomal RNA is filed under the name uncultured bacterium. Its description in RNAcentral is "partial 16S ribosomal RNA". It matches the Rfam family "Bacterial small subunit ribosomal RNA", at positions 30 to 523 of the family's 1533-position model. The record is from RNAcentral.